RNAcentral lists this ribosomal RNA (686 nucleotides) under Limosilactobacillus vaginalis. Its description in RNAcentral is "bacterial SSU rRNA". It matches the Rfam family "Bacterial small subunit ribosomal RNA", at positions 401 to 1078 of the family's 1533-position model. Lineage: Bacteria; Bacillati; Bacillota; Bacilli; Lactobacillales; Lactobacillaceae. The record is from RNAcentral.
GAGUGAAGAAGGGUUUCGGCUCGUAAAGCUCUGUUGUUGGAGAAGAACGUGCGUGAGAGUAACUGUUCACGCAGUGACGGUAUCCAACCAGAAAGUCACGGCUAACUACGUGCCAGCAGCCGCGGUAAUACGUAGGUGGCAAGCGUGUAUUCGGAUUUAUUGGGCGUAAAGCGAGCGCAGGCGGUUGCUUAGGUCUGAUGUGAAAGCCUUCGGCUUAACCGAAGAAGGGCAUCGGAAACCGGGCGACUUGAGUGCAGAAGAGGACAGUGGAACUCCAUGUGUAGCGGUGGAAUGCGUAGAUAUAUGGAAGAACACCGGUGGCGAAGGCGGCUGUCUGGUCUGCAACUGACGCUGAGGCUCGAAAGCAUGGGUAGCGAACAGGAUUAGAUACCCUGGUAGUCCAUGCCGUAAACGAUGAGUGCUAGGUGUUGGAGGGUUUCCGCCCUUCAGUGCCGGAGCUAACGCAUUAAGCACUCCGCCUGGGGAGUACGACCGCAAGGUUGAAACUCAAAGGAAUUGACGGGGGCCCGCACAAGCGGUGGAGCAUGUGGUUUAAUACGAAGCUACGCGAAGAACCUUACCAGGUCUUGACAUCUUGCGCUAACCUAAGAGAUUAGGCGUUCCCGUUCGGGGACGCAAUGACAGGUGGUGCAUGGUCGUCGUCAGCUCGUGUCGUGAGAUGUUGG